This 564-nucleotide ribosomal RNA is filed under the name uncultured bacterium. RNAcentral's name for it is "bacterial SSU rRNA". It matches the Rfam family "Bacterial small subunit ribosomal RNA", at positions 338 to 916 of the family's 1533-position model. The record is from RNAcentral.
CCUACGGGAGGCAGCAGUGGGGAAUCUUGCGCAAUGGGCGAAAGCCUGACGCAGCAACGCCGCGUGCGGGAAGAAGGCUCUCGGGUUGUAAACCGCUUUCAGCAGGAACGAAAAUGACGGUACUUGCAGAAGAAGGUGCGGCCAACUACGUGCCAGCAGCCGCGGUGACACGUAGGCACCAAGCGUUGUCCGGAUUUAUUGGGCGUAAAGAGCUCGUAGGCGGUUCGGUAAGUCAGGUGUGAAAACUUUGGGCUCAACCCAAAGCCUGCAUCUGAUACUGCUGUGACUAGAGUUCGGUAGGGGAGCGGGGAAUUCCUAGUGUAGCGGUGAAAUGCGCAGAUAUUAGGAGGAACACCGGUGGCGAAGGCGCCGCUCUGGGCCGAAACUGACGCUGAGGAGCGAAAGCGUGGGUAGCAAACAGGAUUAGAUACCCUGGUAGUCCACGCCGUAAACGUUGGGCACUAGGUGUGGGUUUCAACCAACGAAAUCCGCGCCGUCGCUAACGCAUUAAGUGCCCCGCCUGGGGAGUACGGCCGCAAGGUUAAAACUCAAAUGAAUUGACGG